UCUCAGGGUUGGUCUGAUUUUCUUUAAUAUCCUUUGUCUUCACAUUUCAGGCAUUGAUCCACAUUUUUGCAGAUUCUCCAUGGUUUCUGAGAAGUUCCAGGUGCACUGUGGAGAAGACAUUGCUUCUUUGGGAGAAAGGACAGAGAAAUGGAAACUUGGAUAGGUCGGUGGACAGGACGUGGGAUGAGAUAACCAAGAUAAUCUGACAAUGACUGCUAAAUCAUAAUGGAUGAAAAAUAUAGGCAUGCAAGACACUCUAUCAAAAAAAAAAAAAGACCUAAAUGAAAGAUCUCUGCGAGUGAGAUCCCAGUGGAAAGAACAGGUCAUCAAAGAAGGAGGUACCUUUCUCUGAAGGGAGGAGAGAACUUCCACUUUGACCAUGACCUUGUCUGAAUAAUAUCGGAGCUGGUGAACUCAAAAGGCUUCCAUAGCCUUGGCAACUCAUGACAAGAGCCUAGGGUGAUUACUGAUGCCAUAAACAAGAGUGUCAAUUUGUAAAGUCAACAACAGGAGUCACUGUGCACUUACUCCUUAUGUAGGAUCUCUGUCCUUAAUGUGCUGUACAUUGUGAUUUAAUGCUAUAACUAGUACUCAAACAGUAUGUUUCACUUUGUGUUUCUAUA
Molecule: long non-coding RNA, 623 nt
Organism: Lepus europaeus (European hare)
Lineage: Eukaryota; Metazoa; Chordata; Mammalia; Lagomorpha; Leporidae
Exons: 3
Source: RefSeq, a predicted model, not a curated record